GACGAACGCUGGCGGCGUGCCUAAUACAUGCAAGUCGAACGCUGAAGGAGGAGCUUGCUCUUCUGGAUGAGUUGCGAACGGGUGAGUAACGCGUAGGUAACCUGUCUGGUAGCGGGGGAUAACUAUUGGAAACGAUAGCUAAUACCGCAUAACAGUAGAUGUUGCAUGACAUUUACUUAAAAGGUGCAAUUGCAUCACUACCAGAUGGACCUGCGUUGUAUUAGCUAGUUGGUGGGGUAACGGCUCACCAAGGCGACGAUACAUAGCCGACCUGAGAGGGUGAUCGGCCACACUGGGACUGAGACACGGCCCAGACUCCUACGGGAGGCAGCAGUAGGGAAUCUUCGGUAAUGGACGGAAGUCUGACCGAGCAACGCCGCGUGAGUGAAGAAGGUUUUCGGAUCGUAAAGCUCUGUUGUAAGAGAAGAACGAGUGUGAGAGUGGAAAGUUCACACUGUGACGGUAUCUUACCAGAAAGGGACGGCUAACUACGUG
RNAcentral lists this ribosomal RNA (495 nucleotides) under uncultured bacterium. Its description in RNAcentral is "partial 16S ribosomal RNA". It matches the Rfam family "Bacterial small subunit ribosomal RNA", at positions 28 to 507 of the family's 1533-position model. The record is from RNAcentral.